GAUUGAUUGUGAAUGUAUGGAUGUAUAAUUAAUAGCCUGUUGUCAUAUUAGUUUUUGAUUAGUUUGUUGCAAGUUUGUAACUCUAUUAUUUUGAAACUGCAGGUUUAAUUCGAUGGAGUCAAAAGAGGAAGCACAUAGUGAUGAUGGAUCUUACGAGUUGGUGAAAGAAGAUCCAAACAUGAUACGAAGAAAGACACUGUGUCAUCGUCAAUAAGGUGGUGCCAUGAUAUUGGUCGUGAGCAUGCUGCAAAUAAUCCUCGACUAAGUAAAAACCGUUUUCCAGGUCAUGAUGAGAUUGGGCAAAACAACGUUACUCUUGUUAUACGCGAUAAAACAAGAGUGAAAAUGAUGGAAGUGAGUAGGAAAUCUGGGCAUGCUACACAAGCAAAUGGUGAAGGAUAGUUAGU
RNAcentral lists this long non-coding RNA (407 nucleotides) under Helianthus annuus (common sunflower). RNAcentral's name for it is "sRNA HanXRQr2_Chr15g0716551". Lineage: Eukaryota; Viridiplantae; Streptophyta; Magnoliopsida; Asterales; Asteraceae. The record is from RNAcentral.